RNAcentral lists this ribosomal RNA (118 nucleotides) under Saimiri boliviensis boliviensis (Bolivian squirrel monkey). Lineage: Eukaryota; Metazoa; Chordata; Mammalia; Primates; Cebidae. The record is from RNAcentral.
GUAUAGGGCAUACCACCCUGAAUGUGCCUGAUCUCAUCUGAUCUUGGAGGCUAAGCAGGGCUGGGCCUGGUUAGUGCUUGGUGGGGAGAUCUCCUGGGAAUACUGGGUCCUGUAGACU